RNAcentral lists this long non-coding RNA (409 nucleotides) under Homo sapiens (human). Its description in RNAcentral is "HSALNT0054389". Lineage: Eukaryota; Metazoa; Chordata; Mammalia; Primates; Hominidae. The record is from RNAcentral.
GCUUUGUAUGUCCAAGAGUCCUGCUAGCUGUUGUGGUGGGCAGAAAAAGAGAGGGAAGGGAGGUGACUGAAGCUGUUCACCUAGACCAGGUGAGCCUCUUGUCUCUGAGUGCAGCUUCUUGCCCAGGAACCAAGAUGGGAGGGGGUUACCUGAUGGGACUGAAUAUCUUCGGGAGAGGGCUCAGCUGCUGAGUUUGGCUGGAACCUGCUUGAGUCCUGGGUUGAUGAACUAACUGGACCCAUGGCAGGUAGGGAAUGGGCAGUAAAAUAUUUUCCUAAGUAGUUCAAGCAGCAGAAGGUGGGCUUUUCCCUGAAUGAAGGCUCUGGCUCAGCUUCUCUGGUUUGGCACAUCCCAGAGAAAGAAGCGGGCCACCCAGCUUUCAGGCCUGAGCCUUGUUUCUCACCUGCCU